RNAcentral lists this ribosomal RNA (466 nucleotides) under uncultured bacterium. RNAcentral describes it as "partial 16S ribosomal RNA". It matches the Rfam family "Bacterial small subunit ribosomal RNA", at positions 28 to 507 of the family's 1533-position model. The record is from RNAcentral.
GACGAACGCUGGCGGCGCGCCUAACACAUGCAAGUCGAACGAGCGAGAGGAGGUUUACUUUCUCAAGCGAGUGGCGAACGGGUGAGUAACGCGUGAGGAACCUGCCUCAAAGAGGGGAACAACAGUUGGAAACGACUGCUAAUACCGCAUAAGCCCACGCCCCGGCAUCGGGUAGAGGGAAAAGGAGCAAUCCGCUUUUAGAUUGCCUCGCGUCCGAUUAGCUAGUUGGUGAGGUAAUGGCCCACCAAGGCGACGAUCGGUAGCCGGACUGAGAGGUUGAACGGCCACAUUGGGACUGAGACACGGCCCAGACUCCUACGGGAAGCAGCAGUGGGGAAUAUUGCAAAAUGGGGGAAACCCUGAUGCAGCGACGCCGCGUGGAGGAAGAAGGUCUUCGGAUUGUAAACUCCUGUUGUUGAGGAAGAUAAUGACGGUACUCAACAAGGAAGUGACGGCUAACUACGUG